Molecule: ribosomal RNA, 492 nt
Filed under: uncultured bacterium
Lineage: Bacteria
Description: partial 16S ribosomal RNA
Rfam family: Bacterial small subunit ribosomal RNA
Source: RNAcentral
AGUGAACGCUGGCGGUAGGCCUAACACAUGCAAGUCGAACGGCAGCACAGUAAGAGCUUGCUCUUACGGGUGGCGAGUGGCGGACGGGUGAGGAAUACAUCGGAAUCUACUUUUUCGUGGGGGAUAACGUAGGGAAACUUACGCUAAUACCGCAUACGACCUACGGGUGAAAGCAGGGGAUCUUCGGACCUUGCGCGAUUGAAUGAGCCGAUGUCGGAUUAGCUAGUUGGCGGGGUAAAGGCCCACCAAGGCGACGAUCCGUAGCUGGUCUGAGAGGAUGAUCAGCCACACUGGAACUGAGACACGGUCCAGACUCCUACGGGAGGCAGCAGUGGGGAAUAUUGGACAAUGGGCGCAAGCCUGAUCCAGCCAUACCGCGGGGGUGAAGAAGGCCUUCGGGUUGUAAAGCCCUUUUGUUGGGAAAGAAAAGCAGCAGGUUAAUACCCCGCUGUUCUGACGGUACCAAAAGAAUAAGCACCGGCUAACUUCGUG